This is a non-coding RNA of Triticum aestivum (bread wheat), 126 nucleotides long. Lineage: Eukaryota; Viridiplantae; Streptophyta; Magnoliopsida; Poales; Poaceae. The record is from Rfam.
CUACUACUCCCUCCGUCCGAAAAAGCUUAUCCCUAAAAUGGAUGUAUCUAGCACCAAAUUAGUGCUAGAUCCAUCCAUUUGAGGAACAAAUAUGGGACAAGCUUUUUCAGACGGAGGGAGUACUAU